This 253-nucleotide ribosomal RNA is filed under the name uncultured bacterium. Its description in RNAcentral is "partial 16S ribosomal RNA". It matches the Rfam family "Bacterial small subunit ribosomal RNA", at positions 524 to 776 of the family's 1533-position model. The record is from RNAcentral.
UACGAAGGGGGCGAGCGUUGUUCGGAAUUACUGGGCGUAAAGGGCGCGCAGGCGGCCUUAGAAGUCAGAUGUGAAAGCCCCGGGCUCAACCUGGGAAUGGCAUUUGAUACUCUGAGGCUGGAGUACGGGAGAGGAGAGUGGAAUUCCCAGUGUAGAGGUGAAAUUCGUAGAUAUUGGGAAGAACACCGGUGGCGAAGGCGGCUCACUGGCUCAUUUCUGACGCUCAGGCGCGACAGCGUGGGGAUCAAACAGA